RNAcentral lists this ribosomal RNA (451 nucleotides) under uncultured bacterium. Its description in RNAcentral is "SSU rRNA". It matches the Rfam family "Bacterial small subunit ribosomal RNA", at positions 26 to 518 of the family's 1533-position model. The record is from RNAcentral.
AGAGCGAACGCUGGCGGCAUGCUUAACACAUGCAAGUCGCACGGGCAGGGGAAACCCUGUCAGUGGCGGACGGGUGAGUAACGCGUAGGUAUCUAUCCUUGGGUGGGGGACAACGGCUGGAAACGGCUGCUAAUACCGCAUGAUGACCGAGGUCUAAAGGCGCAAGUCGCCUGGGGAGGAGCCUGCGUACGAUUAGCUUGUUGGUGGGUAAAGGCCUGCCAAGGCUACGAUCGUUAGCUGGUCUGAGAGGAUGAUCAGCCACAUUGGGACUGAGACACGGCCCAAACUCCUACGGGAGGCAGCAGUGGGGAAUAUUGGACAAUGGGCGCAAGCCUGAUCCAGCAAUGCCGCGUGUGUGAAGAAGGUCUUCGGAUUGUAAAGCACUUUCGACGGGGACGAUGAUGACGGUACCCGUAGAAGAAGCCCCGGCUAACUUCGUGCCAGCAGCCGC